RNAcentral lists this ribosomal RNA (434 nucleotides) under uncultured Clostridium sp. RNAcentral describes it as "partial 16S ribosomal RNA". It matches the Rfam family "Bacterial small subunit ribosomal RNA", at positions 341 to 792 of the family's 1533-position model. Lineage: Bacteria; Bacillati; Bacillota; Clostridia; Eubacteriales; Clostridiaceae. The record is from RNAcentral.
ACGGGAGGCAGCAGUGGGGAAUAUUGCACAAUGGGGGAAACCCUGAUGCAGCGACGCCGCGUGAGUGAUGAAGUAUUUCGGUAUGUAAAGCUCUAUCAGCAGGGAAGAUAAUGACGGUACCUGACUAAGAAGCCCCGGCUAACUACGUGCCAGCAGCCGCGGUAAUACGUAGGGGGCAAGCGUUAUCCGGAUUUACUGGGUGUAAAGGGAGCGUAGACGGCAUGGCAAGUCUGAUGUGAAAACCCGGGGCUCAACCCCGGGACUGCAUUGGAAACUGUCAAGCUAGAGUGCAGGAGGGGUAAGCGGAAUUCCUAGUGUAGCGGUGAAAUGCGUAGGUAUUAGGAGGAACACCGGUGGCGAAGGCGGCUUACUGGACUGUAACUGACGUUGAGGCUCGAAAGCGUGGGGAGCAAACAGGAUUAGAUACCCUGGUA